RNAcentral lists this long non-coding RNA (340 nucleotides) under Zostera marina. RNAcentral's name for it is "long non-coding RNA (ZMAR_LNC001154)". The record is from RNAcentral. Lineage: Eukaryota; Viridiplantae; Streptophyta; Magnoliopsida; Alismatales; Zosteraceae.
GUUUAUCCAUGCCCAAAAGGAUCUAUAAGACAUAGAGAAGUCGCCAAGAAAAUUGGUGGGAAGGAAUUGUAAGCACAAUCAUAUAAUCACAAAAGAUUUAAAUGAUGAAAACACAUUUUAUAUCCUCUUCUGUGAUAUAAAAAAUUGGGGGUGAUCGAUCAAUCCCUAUGGACAUCAAAGUAUCAUUUAUUCACCAAUAAAGAUAUCUUUUCGGAUUUUAAAUUUUAAUGUUUUUAACUUAUUUGCUGUAUGUUGGAAAAUAAUCCUUUUUUAUCAGAACUUGUAUUAUCAUCUAUUAUCCAACUUGGCUUCCUAAAUUAGAAGAAAAUAACAAUGGCCC